GCUAGAUUACACAUGCAAUAUUAAUGAACAAAAAAAAUUUAGCUACACCAAUUGUAUAUUAUAUUAAAAUCACAUAAAAUCUCAACUUUGAAAUUUAUUAAUGUGAAUAGUAGAGUACAAUUUCAAAACAUAGUCCAAAUUUCAAACAUAGUAGAUUAUAUCACACGAAAUUUAUAGAUGAGGCAAGAAUUUUCGCACAUCACCCGCCCUUGUUUCAUCUUGAUUUAUGAACAACAUCCUCCAAUAAUCUCAUCCACGAAAGCCCUAAGAUUCUUUUCUGAAGAGCCACCUUCUUUCACUGCUUCUAUUGCUAAAUUCUUCCAUUUCUUGGAAUUGUUUCUUUUCUCUUCUGCAUUCUUUCCAUCUCCCAUGACCAACUCCAAGCACCUCACCAUCUCCUCACCUACGACUAUCCCUUCUUCGUUGGGUACCACUCUCACCCCUGUUUGCCAUUCAUCUUCUAUCAACUUUGCGUUUGUUCCUUGAUCAGUCCACUGUGGAAACGCCACCAUCGGAACGCCGGAAACUAAGCCCUCUAAAGUUGAGUUCCACCCACAAUGAGUCACGAAACAUCCUAAUGAUGGAUGAGACAAAACCUCCACUUGAGAACACCAUGGCACUAUCAUCCCUUUCUCUUCCAAUUCUUGUCUGCAACUCAGUUGAUUUUCUUCAUUAGUCCCAUCCACAAGUGGUUCUUCCCUUAGCACCCACAGGAAUGGACGAGAGCUAUUCAGUAAUCCACGAGCAAUUUCUUCCAUUUGUUGCUUAGAUAAGACACAAAUGCUCCCAAACGAUACAUAGAUUACUGAUGAUUUUGGUUUUGAGUUCAGCCAUUCUUUGUAACCCUUUGAACUUUGGAAAAGAUCAGCUCCAAAGGCAGUAUCCGACGGAUCUUUGCGAUCAAGAAAUGCGGAAGGAAGUAGUGGCCCAAUUCCUAUCAUAUUGAACUUCUCAAUGGCUUUCAAGGCUUCGGGUUCUAAUGCAUCAAAUGUGUUAACGAGUAUUUUUGGGUUGCUUUCUUCGCUAAGCGUCUCUAGUUGCUCCUUAAACGAAGCGAGUGCAAAAGUAUAAAGGUUUGAGGGAACUAAAAAGGAGGGAAGGUCACGGCCAGUGAACGGUGGAAGCUUUCCUGGUAACUGGACUACGUAAGUGGGGUCACUGCAGUUGCUAAACAAAUCUCCAUAACCAUUGAAGUAAUAGUAAAAGACGCUAAGAACCGUUGAAGGCUGAAUCCAAAGAAGUGUAGACGGAAGGUGAUGUGCACGCGCCACCUCAGCUGCCCAUGGAAGCAGUAAUGUGUAGACUACGCAGGUAAAUGGCUUGCCUUCAUUCUCCUUAGCCACGAUCAUAUCACUGAGAGUUUGUGAGCCGCGACGCUUGAUCUCUGACGCGUAGUUGUUAUGGUCAUCGUGACCGAACUUGAAUCCAUCGUCGUAACCAUCAGAAAAGGUGGCUAACGACAAGCCGUCAGGGAAUGAGGUUUUAGCCAUGCGGCGUGUCGCAGAUAGACAAGUAGCAAGAGUAACAUGAACACCGAUACGAAUUAAACACUUAGCGAAUUGGAGAGCUGGGUUUAUGUGGCCUUGCGCCGGAAAGGUUACUAGAAGAAAGUGGGGUUGCAUCAUGACAGUGGUGUUUCGGCUGAAGUGGCUGUGCGGGGGGCGUACUGCGGCUGAGACUGGAGAGUGAGAUUGAAGAGCAGUAGCACGUAGCAGCAGCAAUUGUGGUAGCAGCAGCUAUUGGAUUAAUGGGUGGCUGUAAUAGGGCACAUGCAUGAAGACAAGUGAGGCUUAAACAGAGGACGUUGGCAUUGAAAAGGUGACGUUUGUGGUGACGUUUUUUGUGAAAGGCUUGUUCUACUUUGCAAAUAAGACGGCGGAAGACAGUGUUGUAGAAAGAAGAGACAAAAAUAUACUGCUGAGUUUUUAUUUUUUAAUUGGUUCAGUGCAUGUGAUCGAUCAAUUCAGUUUUCUUUUUCAAAGAUCGAUCAAUUCAGUUGCUGCACG
Molecule: unclassified non-coding RNA, 2006 nt
Filed under: Hevea brasiliensis (rubber tree)
Lineage: Eukaryota; Viridiplantae; Streptophyta; Magnoliopsida; Malpighiales; Euphorbiaceae
Source: RNAcentral